Molecule: transfer RNA, 69 nt
Filed under: Actinomycetes bacterium
Lineage: Bacteria; Bacillati; Actinomycetota; Actinomycetes
Description: tRNA-Met
Rfam family: tRNA
About the family: Transfer RNA (tRNA) molecules are approximately 80 nucleotides in length. Their secondary structure includes four short double-helical elements and three loops (D, anti-codon, and T loops). Further hydrogen bonds mediate the characteristic L-shaped molecular structure. tRNAs have two regions of fundamental functional importance: the anti-codon, which is responsible for specific mRNA codon recognition, and the 3' end, to which the tRNAs corresponding amino acid is attached (by aminoacyl-tRNA synthetases). tRNAs cope with the degeneracy of the genetic code in two manners: having more than one tRNA (with a specific anti-codon) for a particular amino acid; and 'wobble' base-pairing, i.e. permitting non-standard base-pairing at the 3rd anti-codon position.
Source: RNAcentral
GGGCCGCACGAGCACUAGUUCGUCGGGCUCAUAACCCGAAGGUCGUAGGUUCAAAUCCUACCCCCGCCA